UGCAAGUCGAGCGGAAACGAUGUAGCUUGCUACAGGCGUCGAGCGGCGGACGGGUGAGUAACGCGUAGGAACCUACCUAGUAGUUUGGGAUAGCCAUUGGAAACGAUGAUUAAUACCGGAUACGCCCCACGGGGGAAAGCAGAGGAUCUUCGGACUUCGCGCUAUUAGAUGGGCCUGCGUAAGAUUAGCUUGUUGGUGAGGUAAUGGCUCACCAAGGCGACGAUCUCUAACUGGUCUGAGAGGAUGACCAGUCACACUGGGACUGAGACACGGCCCAGACUCCUACGGGAGGCAGCAGUGGGGAAUAUUGGACAAUGGGCGCAAGCCUGAUCCAGCCAUGCCGCGUGUGUGAAGAAGGCCUUAGGGUUGUAAAGCACUUUCAGGGGUGAGGAAGGGUGAGUCGCUAAUAUCGACUUAUCUUGACGUUAGCCCCAGAAGAAGCACCGGCUAACUCUGUGCCAGCAGCCGCGGUAAUACAGAGGGUGCAAGCGUUAAUCGGAAUUACUGGGCGUAAAGCGCGCGUAGGUGGUUUGUUAAGUCUGAUGUGAAAUCCCAGGGCUCAACCUUGGAAUGGCACCGAAUACUGGCUAGCUAGAGUAUGG
RNAcentral lists this ribosomal RNA (602 nucleotides) under uncultured bacterium. RNAcentral describes it as "bacterial SSU rRNA". It matches the Rfam family "Bacterial small subunit ribosomal RNA", at positions 56 to 651 of the family's 1533-position model. The record is from RNAcentral.